RNAcentral lists this non-coding RNA (857 nucleotides) under Pan troglodytes (chimpanzee). The record is from RNAcentral. Lineage: Eukaryota; Metazoa; Chordata; Mammalia; Primates; Hominidae.
CCUGGCUGGAUCCUGGAGAGCAUGAUCCCAUUAUGAAGGGAAAGCUUGUUGAGUCCUAACAGAUGUUUUGGAGUUUCCAGCAUGAAAGGCUAUAGAGGGAAACUCUUGGACAGUCUAGCUCUGCCACAGGUUCCCUAGCACCCAAGAAAAAUACUGACCUUCACAGGAGUCACAUGUCCAACCCAAGAGAAAAAGAUAUGAUCUAGAACUACCAGGGGCCAGAAAUUAGAUCUGCUUUUUUCUUGGCUGCAUCCAGAGAAAGUUACUACAGCUUUGCUAAAAUGGUGUGAACACGGAUGAUGGGCUUCUAGAAUCACAUAAGAGAAGUAGGUCAAUGGCUUACAACUGCUGGCCGGUGAUUAUUCUUUCACGAGUGCCCAGGGGGAAAACAAAACAAACAAACAAAAACAGGCAAAAGCUACAGGCACAUGCUUGCUAAAUUUAUAUUACUUUUUAUUGUUGUAUUGUUAUUUUUUAUUGUGUUUCCCCCCACCCACCCCCAAACAUUUUUGAUGCAUUGUUUGUUGAAUUUAUGGAUGUGGAGCUGCGAAUAUGGAGGGCCGGCUGGUUGGGAGCUGUACAGCAUGAGCCACUUAUUCAUAGGGGUUUGGGAAACAGCUGGAGGCAAAGAGAAGUCUCUCCCUUAGGCAUUUAGCCAUACGGACUGAAUAUCUACAAAUUGUAAGAUGUUCUGGUAGGUACUGGAAACAAAACAAUAAGCAAGACAGCCAUGCAGACUUGCUCUCAUGCAGCUUAAGAGUCUAAUGAGAGAAGCAGAUAAACAAUCACACACACAUGGAUACACAUGAUUACAAACUGCUGUAAGAUUCUGGUGAAGGAAAGGAAUGUGGCCAUAG